This 2420-nucleotide long non-coding RNA is filed under the name Gossypium barbadense (sea-island cotton). RNAcentral describes it as "long non-coding RNA (GBAR_LNC019682)". Lineage: Eukaryota; Viridiplantae; Streptophyta; Magnoliopsida; Malvales; Malvaceae. The record is from RNAcentral.
UUGUCAAAGAACUUAUAGUGAUUUAGUGAAUACAAGACGCUCAACUGUGGGUGGAGGAAGCAAUCAAACAAGCCAAAGAAGAAGAGGAAGCAAUAACACACUAUCAAAGAAAAAUGAACAAUACAUAUUUAGAAUCUUUACCAAGCACAAAAUAGAAAUUAAAACUAUCUUUGCAAGUCAAAAACUUGAAAUUCAUUUCUUUAUCAAUCACCCAAAAAAGAAAAAAAAGAACCUAAAGUAAAUUAAAUUAAAUUAAAUUUGGGUAAUGCUUUUAAAAUUAAAUUUCUUAACGUCUGCUUUAGAGGAGUAUGAACGGGCUGUUAUUCUAGGCUAGAGAAGCCGAUGGGUAUGUAAGACAAUAAACAUACUAUGAGAGUGCCAGAAUCGAUGUUUAAGUUAAUGAUGGUGAAAGACCUUUUCAGAAAAGACUUUAAGCUGAGUAAUAGUAGCUAAAGUUAAGUAAGGAUGUCCUUGAAGUGGUAUAUACCUAGUUAUUUAUAUCUCGGGCUCCUUGGUAUCGUUAGACUAGGACUAAGACAUUCCUCCUAUGUGAUUUGACUAAGAUUGUUGACCUUUUUCCUAUGAGAUUGUCAAGCUCAUUUGUUAAUCCCAUUGCUUGACCUAUGACAGUCCUCCACUUCAUUUGUUGAUCCUACUGAUAAUGGUUGUUUAUAGUUUGACAUAUCGUGGGAGGCUUGAUCUUCUUGAGUAUAUAGAUAUAUAUUGGUUUGAUGUUUAUUCUCUUGAACCUUAAAUUUAUUUUCUUGAGUUGAUAUAAUACAACUUUAAGGUUAUAAUGAUAAAAACAAAAACACAUAUUCAAAUAAAAAAUGAAAAUUUAACUUAUUUAUUCGUGGAAAAAAUAUUUGGAUCCAAAUACAAAUUCAAGUUUGGACCAAUUUUUUACCACUAAUGUUUCUACCAAACAUGGAAAACAAAAAUAUUAAAAACUUAUCUGAACUAGUCCAAUAGCUUUGUACCUCAAUUAAAGUUUCAAUUAUAAUUUCAUUACAAUGAAGAAUAAGCAAGAAAAAUCAGGCAUGGAGCCUGGCGCAGGUCUGUACCCCAGCAACUAGAACUGGCCAUAUCAAACCAAAAAAAAGAGGACUCAAAGACAAUAUCCCUAAACCAUAACUAUUUCCCUAUAGUUAUAUUCAUAAAUAUAAUAUGCCAUAUGAUUUAAAUGAAAAAACAACCCAAGAGCACAAAAUUUGCAAAUUUUGUCACAAGAUGCAGGGGACAGUGCAAUAAUCUAAUGCUGUAAUGUAAGGCUCCCUCGACAGUCUGUCUGAGCAGUGACAAUGCACUAAAACUGUUGUAAUAACAUCCAAUAAGUAUAAUGAUAAGGGGAAUAACCCAGAGCACAAUCUAAACAGAUCACAAUCUAAACUUCAUGCUUCAUGGACAAUUUUCAAAGUUAACUUCAAUAAACGUAAAUUGGAUAUUUUUUUCUUCUUUUUUUUUAAAUCCAGAGCACAAUAUAAACAGAUCAUUCAAGAAAAAUACAGAAACCAUUUCCAAUUGAAAACUUCAACAACAGAUUUACAUGCAAUUGCAAAGCCAAAUAAAAGGAAAUAUGGAAAUAUAUAUUACCACUAAAGCUAGAUUUACAUGCAACAACAUAAGGAACUCUCUACUUCGGCAAGAUGGAGAAAGAAAAUGCAAGACCAUAGACAUGCAUAAACUGCCUCAGCAAAGAUCACAUGCAAGAAAGGGUUUAAAAUAAGAAGUAGAAGUAAAAGGGUACAAAGCAUAUUACCUCGAAAAUUUCUUCUUUUUAGAAACUAAAGAAACCUGCCAGACAAAAAAGAAUUAAGAAUUUGAUGCCGCAACAGAAAAGAUAAUAACAAAAAAGCUGUUCAUAGAAAUUUCGAGACUAGAAAAUAAUUUGCACGCGCGGAAUUUAAGCAAAGAAACAAUGAAACAUGCUGCCGAAACUGAUAAAAUGAAGAAAAGAAAUGGGUUUUUAUGUUCGUUUGUGAAAGUUACUGAUCCGCUUAAAUGUUCAGAUCAAAGAAAAUACAAAAAAUAGCUAUUUUUCCAUUGAAUUCAGAUCAAAGAUGAAGAGAAAAAACAAAGAAAAUAAUAUAUAUAUAUAGAUAGAUAGAUAGAGCAUAUAACCUGAAAAUAGCCAUCGAUAAAGUAAAGAAGCACUUGCCGAAACAGUUGGACCAGAGAUCUGAGACGGUGGAGCCGACGAAAGAUGCCAAGAUGAAAGUGAAUCGGGAGCGGAUGGAGGUGACUUUGCUGGCAGCUUCAGUUUGAUGUGUUUUGGGGCUUUUGGGUUGGGAGGGUAAAACAGGGUUGAAUAGCUAAAUGGUGAUCUGGGAAGGGAAUAGAAAUCCCCCAAAAAUCAACCAAUUUUUUGCAUACACCCGUAAUGGAAUAAACCCGUAAUAGGGCAUUCCAUUGAACCAAAC